Molecule: long non-coding RNA, 1091 nt
Organism: Wyeomyia smithii (pitcher-plant mosquito)
Lineage: Eukaryota; Metazoa; Arthropoda; Insecta; Diptera; Culicidae
Exons: 2
Source: RefSeq, a predicted model, not a curated record
UCAAGCCCGUUUCUCUGGUGUGCUGUUCUGGGAAGUAGCGCUAUGCGAAGAUUAUAAGUUCUGUUCGCGUUAGUUAGUGGGGUGUGUCAGCUGAGGAACGCUAAGGAUGGAAAAUUAUAGUUUUAGAACGAUUUUUUUUCUGCUGAAAAACUUAUGAAUGACGGAAAAUCUCUCAGAACAGCUUCAAUUUUUGCAGGUGCAUUCAACCGAAGCGAAUACAAAAACGGAAUUUCGCACGCUUUUGGCACGCGUUGCGGAAAUACUCAGAUUUUCAAUAUGAAACUCCAAUGCCGCGCUGCUACCAGCAAGCAAGAAGUCGUCUCAUCACGCAUCGUCGAUAAUCGUACUUGAUGAAAUUAUUAUUAUUAAAUAUUAAAAAUCGUUCCACGGCAGUCGAACAGUUUUGCAUACCCCCGAGGUGCGUACAUGCGAUAAGAUACAAUCGAGUCCCGUCGGGAAGCAAGCACUUCCCGUGCAGUGACACAGAUCGAUGAAUGCCAGGAAUUUUACGCAGCCGGUGUCGAACAAUGGGAGUUCAACCUUGCCUAACCUUUGAGGAUGAGGUAUACUGAGAGAUCAAAUCGAUACCCUGAGACGAAGCCUACGGACGAUUUGUUGCAUCACGCAGAAUAGAACGUAUCAAUCGUCGAAUGUCAUACACGACAUCAAUUAAUCAUUUGACAACUUCACCCCACCCACGCCGACGAUUCAACAAGGAAAGGCAAAUGGAAAUGAUGUGUCUCCGUGUGUUGUGUUUGCUUCCUCAUGGAGGAAGGGUGGGAGUUUUCCGCCGGGAGGAUGAAAAAUUAUCGAGAGGUGCAUUGACGAGUGAAUUUGCGCUUGAAGCCCCGCUUGAAGACACUUCCGGGUGGGAAAAUAGCAAGACUGGAUCAUUAUUCUUCAUAAACAGUGUGAAUGUGAAAAUUGAAGAGGAGUUGAUGGAAUUGUUGACACUUAAACAAGAUACACAAUUGAUCCUCAGCAGAGAUACUUAGCGGAUCUUGUGUACUGUAAUUCUAUUUACAACAAUCACGGCUGUUGUUUCACUAAAUAUAAAACAGCAUAAUAAACAAAAUUAUAUCAUAACGAAA